AUGAAUUGCGUAAGUUGGAACUGUCGGGGAGUGGCCAACAAGCCGACAGUUCGUGAUCUGGUUGGCCUAGUUAAAGAAACAAAAGCAAAGUUAGUUUUUCUAUGUGAGACUAGACAAAGUUAUGAGAAAGUGAAACGUCUUCGUGGUAGAUUAGGCCUAAGAGGUUUUUCUGGUGUUAGUAGUAAUGGCUUGAGUGGUGGAUUGGCUCUGUUUUGG
This 216-nucleotide ribosomal RNA is filed under the name Triticum aestivum (bread wheat). RNAcentral's name for it is "partial small subunit ribosomal RNA". Lineage: Eukaryota; Viridiplantae; Streptophyta; Magnoliopsida; Poales; Poaceae. The record is from RNAcentral.